RNAcentral lists this small RNA (100 nucleotides) under Aquimarina atlantica. RNAcentral describes it as "Flavo-1 RNA". It matches the Rfam family "Flavo-1 RNA". Lineage: Bacteria; Pseudomonadati; Bacteroidota; Flavobacteriia; Flavobacteriales; Flavobacteriaceae. The record is from Rfam by way of RNAcentral.
AAAUUGCGUGAGGGAUUGAAACGGCAUCCUUUUCUGUUACUCUGAUUUUGUCGAAGAAUAAGAAGUAACAGAAAAGAUAUAGUGGAAAGCCCGACCCUGU